GAUGAACGCUAGCUACAGGCUUAACACAUGCAAGUCGAGGGGCAGCAUGAACUUAGCUUGCUAAGUUUGAUGGCGACCGGCGCACGGGUGAGUAACACGUAUCCAACCUUCCGUUUACUCAGGGAUAGCCUUUCGAAAGAAAGAUUAAUACCUGAUAGUAUGGUGAGAUUACAUGAUAGCACCAUUAAAGAUUUAUUGGUAAACGAUGGGGAUGCGUUCCAUUAGGUAGUAGGCGGGGUAACGGCCCACCUAGCCGACGAUGGAUAGGGGUUCUGAGAGGAAGGUCCCCCCACAUUGGUACUGAGACACGGACCAAAACUCCUACGGGAGGCAGCAGUGAGGAAUAUUGGUCAAUGGCCGAGAGGCUGAACCAGCCAAGUCGCGUGAAGGAAGAAGGAUCUAUGGUUUGUAAACUGCUUUUAUAAGGGAAUAAAGUGAGUCUCGUGAGGCUUUUUGCAUGUACCUUAUGAAUAAGGACCGGCUAAUUCCGUGCCAGCAGCCGCGGU
Molecule: ribosomal RNA, 506 nt
Filed under: uncultured bacterium
Lineage: Bacteria
Description: bacterial SSU rRNA
Rfam family: Bacterial small subunit ribosomal RNA
Source: RNAcentral